GUCUUCCUGAAGAGAGAGACUGGGAAGGAUUCUUUUGUUGACCCUUCACAGCAAUGACAAGAACAGUGACUGGAAGCUGCCACCAUCCUGGAGAAUUCAUCUCCCCCCAGGAGCAGUGCUCAGCCAAUG
This is a long non-coding RNA of Myotis myotis, 129 nucleotides long. RefSeq lists it as uncharacterized. The record is from RefSeq and is a predicted model, not a curated record. The transcript is spliced from 3 exons. Lineage: Eukaryota; Metazoa; Chordata; Mammalia; Chiroptera; Vespertilionidae.